This 324-nucleotide ribosomal RNA is filed under the name Isolapotamon consobrinum. RNAcentral's name for it is "partial 12S ribosomal RNA". Lineage: Eukaryota; Metazoa; Arthropoda; Malacostraca; Decapoda; Potamidae. The record is from RNAcentral.
AUAAUCUUUAAAUUUAAAGAAUUUGGCGGUAAUUUAUUUCUUGUCAGAGGAACCUGUUUUUUAAUCGAUAAACCACGUAUAAUCUUACUUGUUUUUAUAGUUUGUAUACCAUCAUUAACAGAUAAUUUUAAAAGAAAAAAUUAUUAAAGAUGAAUUGUUAAAUAAAUUAGAUCAAGGUGCAGCCAAUAAUCAAGUUUAAAUGGGUUACAAUAAAUUUUAUUUAUUAUGGAGUAAAUUAAUAAAAUAUUUAUAAAGGAGGAUUUGAUUGUAAUAUAAGUUUAAUAAGCUUAUAAGAUAAUAGCUCUAAAUUAUGUACACAUCGCC